Molecule: ribosomal RNA, 251 nt
Filed under: uncultured bacterium
Lineage: Bacteria
Description: partial 16S ribosomal RNA
Rfam family: Bacterial small subunit ribosomal RNA
Source: RNAcentral
UACAGAGGGGCGAGCGUUGUUCGGAAUUACUGGGCGUAAAGGGCGCGUAGGCGGCCAACUAAGUCAGACGUGAAAUCCCUCGGCUCAACCGGGGAACUGCGUCUGAUACUGGAUGGCUUGAAUUCGGGAGAGGGAUGCGGAAUUCCAGGUGUAGCGGUGAAAUGCGUAGAUAUCGGAAGGAACAUCAGUGGCGAAAGCGGCUUCCUGGUCCAGCACCGACGUCAGGCACGAAAGCGUGGGGAGCAAACAGG